Molecule: ribosomal RNA, 301 nt
Filed under: uncultured bacterium
Lineage: Bacteria
Description: partial 16S ribosomal RNA
Rfam family: Bacterial small subunit ribosomal RNA
Source: RNAcentral
CAGCAGCCGCGGGAACACCGAGGGUGCAAGCGUUAAUCGGAAUUACUGGGCGUAAAGCGCACGCAGGCGGUCUGUCAAGUCAGAUGUGAAAUCCCCGGGCUUAACCUGGGAACUGCAUUUGAAACUGGCAGGCUAGAGUCUUGUAGAGGGGGGUAGAAUUCCAGGUGUAGCGGUGAAAUGCGUAGAGAUCUGGAGGAAUACCGGUGGCGAAGGCGGCCCCCUGGACAAAGACUGACGCUCAGGUGCGAAAGCGUGGGGAGCAAACAGGAUUAGAUACCCCGGUAGUCCCUGUCUCUUAUAC